GACGUAGGGUCCGAGCGUUGUCCGGAGUUACUGGGCGUAAAGGGCGCGUAGGCGGGCGACCAAGUCCGGGGUGAAAUCUUUCGGCUCAACCGGAAGAGUGCCUUGGAUACUGGUUGCCUCGAGGGAGGUAGGGGCAUGCGGAACUUCCGGUGGAGCGGUGAAAUGCGUAGAUAUCGGAAGGAACGCCGGUGGCGAAAGCGGCGUGCUGGACCUCUUCUGACGCUGAGGCGCGAAAGCCAGGGGAGCGAACGGG
This 253-nucleotide ribosomal RNA is filed under the name uncultured bacterium. Its description in RNAcentral is "partial 16S ribosomal RNA". It matches the Rfam family "Bacterial small subunit ribosomal RNA", at positions 524 to 776 of the family's 1533-position model. The record is from RNAcentral.